ACAUUGCAGGCAUAGAUUGCAGGAUACAGUGAAUGAUACGUGUUUUAUACAAUGAAUCUAAGUACCUAUUUGUUUCAGGUUAAUAUCGAACUUCGAACUUAUAAAGUGUUAAGCAGCAAUUACAAUAAAAGUGCUUGCUGUGGAAUCACUGGUGCUGCUCAUUAUUGUCAACUGUUACUUAAAAAGGUUAUGCCAUGCAUUAAAUUAGGAAGAUUUGUGUUGGAUGAAUUACCCAGAUAACAAUUAAAACAACUUCUAUUUAUAAGAACAUUCGAUUGGUGGAAUCCAGAUUCUGUGAAUAUUAUAUUAAGUAAUUGAUUGACAAGUACACAUUUGACAAGGUGGUGAGAAACAUGUAGAUCUGGCCUGCUUACAGUGGAGUGGACAGAACCAACGUGAGAGUGAACGUGUGAAUUUAUGGAGAACAUUAAACUAUUUUACUAUAAGUCUUAACGCAACAUAUUUUAUAUGAGUUACAUACAAAUGUCAAUCCGUGAGUACAUAAUGUAAAAACUAAAACAAUGUACUGUUAUCACAACAGUAACUGUAAUCUUUUAAAAUCCAGUAGUUUUAUUGCUUAUUGAUUUUCGUAAACAAAAUAUUUCAUGUUAUAUUUCAUCAAUAAAGUUUUAUUUUAUA
This is a long non-coding RNA of Ostrinia nubilalis (European corn borer), 639 nucleotides long. RefSeq lists it as uncharacterized. NCBI's taxonomy places the organism in Eukaryota, Metazoa, Arthropoda, Insecta, Lepidoptera, Crambidae. The record is from RefSeq and is a predicted model, not a curated record. The transcript is spliced from 4 exons.